Molecule: ribosomal RNA, 454 nt
Filed under: uncultured bacterium
Lineage: Bacteria
Description: partial 16S ribosomal RNA
Rfam family: Bacterial small subunit ribosomal RNA
Source: RNAcentral
GAUGAACGCUGACAGAAUGCUUAACACAUGCAAGUCAACUUGAACUUCGGUUUGGGUGGCGGACGGGUGAGUAACGCGUAAAGAACUUGCCUCACAGCUAGGGACAACAUUUGGAAACGAAGGCUAAUACCUGAAAUUAUGAUUAUAUGGCAUCGUAUAAUUAUGAAAGCUAUAUGCGCUGUGAGAGAGCUUUGCGUCCCAUUAGCUAGUUGGUGAGGUAACAGCUCACGAAGGCGAUGAUGGGUAGCCGGCCUGGGAGGGUGAUCGGCCACAAGGGGACUGAGACACGGCGCUGACGCCUACGGGAGGCAGCAGUGGGGAAUAUUGGACAAUGGACCGAGAGUCUGAUCCAGCAAUUCUGUGUGCACGAUGAAGUUUUUCGGAAUGAAAAGUGCUUUCAGUUGGGAAGAAAAAAAUGACGGUACCAACAGAAGAAGUGACGGCUAAAUACGUG